RNAcentral lists this ribosomal RNA (402 nucleotides) under uncultured bacterium. RNAcentral describes it as "bacterial SSU rRNA". It matches the Rfam family "Bacterial small subunit ribosomal RNA", at positions 335 to 730 of the family's 1533-position model. The record is from RNAcentral.
ACUCCUACGGGAGGCAGCAGUGGGGAAUAUUGCACAAUGGGGGAAACCCUGAUGCAGCCAUGCCGCGUGUGUGAAGAAGGCCUUCGGUUGUAAAGCACUUUCAGUAGGGAGGAAGGUAGUGUAGUUAAUACCUGCAUUAUUUGACGUUACCUACAGAAGAAGCACCGGCUAACUCCGUGCCAGCAGCCGCGGUAAUACGGAGGGUGCGAGCGUUAAUCGGAAUUACUGGGCGUAAAGCGCAUGCAGGCGGCCUGUUAAGUCAGAUGUGAAAGCCCGGGGCUUAACCUCGGAAUUGCAUUUGAAACUGGCAGGCUAGAGUCUUGUAGAGGGGGGUAGAAUUUCAGGUGUAGCGGUGAAAUGCGUAGAGAUCUGAAGGAAUACCAGUGGCGAAGGCGGCCCCCC